Non-coding RNA from Camelina sativa (false flax), 161 nucleotides. NCBI's taxonomy places the organism in Eukaryota, Viridiplantae, Streptophyta, Magnoliopsida, Brassicales, Brassicaceae. The record is from RefSeq and is a predicted model, not a curated record.
AGGGCAAAAUUCAUGGACUAUACAACUGACAACAUGUCUAUCUAUCCAUCUCCAACAGGUGUAAUGAUUGGGCUUGAUCUGGCAUACAACUUGCAUUCUGCCUUUGGUAAUUGGUUCCCUGGUUCAAAACCUCUUCUUGCUCAAGCAAUGAACAAGAUCAU